GGGGAUUUAGCUUAAUGGCAUAAGCACCCGCUUGGUAAGCGUGAGGUCAUGAGUUCAAUCCCUG
RNAcentral lists this transfer RNA (64 nucleotides) under Cavia porcellus (domestic guinea pig). It matches the Rfam family "tRNA". From Rfam's summary of the family: Transfer RNA (tRNA) molecules are approximately 80 nucleotides in length. Their secondary structure includes four short double-helical elements and three loops (D, anti-codon, and T loops). The record is from Rfam by way of RNAcentral. Lineage: Eukaryota; Metazoa; Chordata; Mammalia; Rodentia; Caviidae.